Molecule: transfer RNA, 118 nt
Filed under: Lingula anatina
Lineage: Eukaryota; Metazoa; Brachiopoda; Lingulata; Lingulida; Lingulidae
Rfam family: tRNA
About the family: Transfer RNA (tRNA) molecules are approximately 80 nucleotides in length.
Source: Rfam by way of RNAcentral
GUCAGGAUGGCCGAGCGGUCUAAGGCGUCAGACUCAAGGAAACUUGACUCUCUGUUGAAGAGUUUGUGGGUGUUCUGGUCCACGAAUGUGGGCGUGGGUUCAAAUCCCACUCCUGACA